UACGGAGGGUGCAAGCGUUGUCCGGAAUCACUGGGCGUAAAGGGCGCGUAGGCGGCUCAUGAAGGCUGUGGUGAAAGUCCGGGGCUCAACCUCGGAUCGGCCGUGGCGACUCGUGGGCUGGAGCACUGUAGAGGCGGGUGGAAUUCCGGGUGUAGCGGUGGAAUGCGUAGAGAUCCGGAAGAACACCAGUGGCGAAGGCGCCCGCUGGGCAGUGGCUGACGCUGAGGCGCGACAGCGUGGGGAGCAAACAGG
This 252-nucleotide ribosomal RNA is filed under the name uncultured bacterium. RNAcentral describes it as "partial 16S ribosomal RNA". It matches the Rfam family "Bacterial small subunit ribosomal RNA", at positions 524 to 776 of the family's 1533-position model. The record is from RNAcentral.